CGCUCUCCAUCGCAUUAAAGUACUUCAACCCUCUCUCCACCAAACCGGCGUGGCGACACGCGCACAGAACCGCCAUGAACACAAUCCGGUCUGGUCUAAUACCAACACUCACCAUUUCAUCGAAAAGCUCAACAGCCUCUGCUCCAUAACCAUGCGAUCCGUAACCAAUCAUCAUCGAGGUCCAGGAGACAAGGUCCCUCCUCUCCGCAAUCUCGCCAAACACUCUUUCAGAGUCAGCUGCUGGCCACAGUUCAACGCUGCUAUGUUAGCGCAGGCGGCUACUAAGCUUGUGAAAGUGUAGCAGUUUGGUACGAAACCUUGUUGUGUCUCGAACCGCUGAAACAUGAGGAGAGCUUCGCUGCUGUCUGAUCGCUCAAGCUCGGAUAUCAAAGUGUUCCAUGUGAUGAGAUCUCUAUCUACCAUCUCAUGGAAGUAGCGUUUGGCUUCUGUUAAGUAUCCGCACCUGCAGUAUAAGUCCAGUAUAGAGUUCAUCACCGGAAGGUUAGAGUGAAACCCACGUUUAACCACCGACGAAUGAAUCUGUUUUCCAGUUGUCACGGAAUCAAUGGAAGCAGAAGCUUUAACAGCUAUGGUUAUACAAUGAGGAGUCACAUCUUCAUUCGCCUGAAAACAUAUCAAAAUGGUGAAAUGUCAAUUCCAAAAUCCGAAAACCGAACCGAACCGAAAACCAAAACCGAAACCAGACCGAAAAUUACAAAAAAAUCAGAACGGUUCCUAUAUUUCUAAACCCAAAAGACCAAAACCCCUCCGAAACCGAAUCAAGGACCAUACGGAUACCCAAAUAUUUUAAAUAUAAUAAAAAUAUUAUUUAUUUUUAUUUUUAAUAUAUAUAAAACAUAAUUUAUAAAUAAAAAAUAUCAAAGAACGAAGUAGCCGAGUUAUCCGAAUUACCCCAAUAUUUUUUCGGUUAUUUCCGAGUUUAACUCGGAGUUUUGGGUUUUAUUCGGUUUUUGGGCUUAAACCCGCACUAUUUUCAUUUUGGUUCCGCUUCGAGUUUUAUUAAAAAAUAGAAACCCGACCCGAACCCGACAUUUCCCAAACCAAUCAAUCAAAUGUCCAGUUCCUAAACAGGUUUCAAACACCCCAACCCAAAUAACCUAAAAACGGAAUAAUUUUACCCGAGCCGAAAACCCGCACACUAAGCAAUCCACUCAAAAUGUGAGGAACAUAAGCAACUUACCAUCAACAUUUUCUUAUACAUCUUUAAACCGCCAAUUCCAUCACCUAAGUGUGUAAAACCGGUGAUUAGAGUAGUCCAAGUGACUUCGUUUUUCACCUUGAUAUACCGAAAAAUCAAACAAGCAGCGUCCAUUGUUGCAGAACAAGUAGCGUACAUAUUCAUCAAGGCAUUGUCAACGUAUAUAGAACCUUCCACACCGAGUUUGAUAACAACCCCAUGAACCAAACGACCAUAACCCAAAACCUUCAUGUCUCUACAAGAAGUGAGGACGCUAGAGAGUGUGAACUCAUUCGGGUUAGUUCCUUGCCUGAUCAUCUCACGGAAACACUCCCAAGCGCGUGCGUUGUGAUUAGAAGAAGCGUAACCUUUGAUCAUUGCGGUCCAAGCGACUACGUCUCUCUCAGGCAUUUCGUCGAACAGUGAGCGUGCUUCUUCGACCAAGCCUUUUUCGAAGUAGGAAAGGAUGAGAUUUGUUGCUAAAAUGUAAUGCUUCCUGGGUUUGUAAGGAGACUCUGUGUUUUGGUCUGACUCGACGCAGGCGUUACGUAGAGAGCUUCUGACAAAGUUUGGGAUUGGUUUAAACGCGUUGGAGCGUACAAGUUUCGUGAUGCUCAUGUCUUUGUCUUCAGACCUCAACAGUGUCUGCUCACAGUUUGUACGCAACUUUUUGUAGGUUCCGUAGUUUGCUCAUGUCUUUUCCGGGUUCAGGAAUGGUUCAGACCUCAACAGGUUCUGAUUAUUAGUUUGUUCGGGACUUUUCACAGUUUGUUUUUUCCUAAAAGGAAGACGCAAGUCUUUUGUCUAAUUCCUUUGAUUUCUUGUCAUUGUUAUUUUUGAUUUAUAUAUCUAUAUUAUAGUA
This is a long non-coding RNA of Brassica napus (rape), 2060 nucleotides long. RefSeq lists it as uncharacterized. The record is from RefSeq and is a predicted model, not a curated record. The transcript has 2 exons. NCBI's taxonomy places the organism in Eukaryota, Viridiplantae, Streptophyta, Magnoliopsida, Brassicales, Brassicaceae.